This 521-nucleotide ribosomal RNA is filed under the name uncultured bacterium. RNAcentral's name for it is "bacterial SSU rRNA". It matches the Rfam family "Bacterial small subunit ribosomal RNA", at positions 27 to 518 of the family's 1533-position model. The record is from RNAcentral.
GGACGAACGCUGGCGGCGUGCCUAAUACAUGCAAGUCGAACGGUCUUUCUAUGGAAGCUUGCUUCCACUGAGAAGAUAGUGGCGAACGGGUGAGUAACACGUGGGUAACCUGCCCAUAAGAGGGGGGAUAACAUCCGGAAACGGGUGCUAAUACCGCAUAGUUUUCUUGAUCGCAUGAUCGGGAAAGGAAAGACGGCCUUUGUGCUGUCGCUUAUGGAUGGACCCGCGGCGUAUUAGUUAGUUGGUGAGGUAACGGCUCACCAAGACGAUGAUACGUAGCCGACCUGAGAGGGUGAUCGGCCACAUUGGGACUGAGACACGGCCCAAACUCCUACGGGAGGCAGCAGUAGGGAAUCUUCCGCAAUGGACGAAAGUCUGACGGAGCAACGCCGCGUGAGUGAAGAAAAGGGUUCUCGGAUCGUAAAACUCUGUUGUCAGAGAAGAACAAGUUGGAGAGUAACUGCUCCAGCCUUGACGGUAUCUGACCAGAAAGCCACGGCUAACUACGUGCCAGCCGCCGC